GCCUGCUGGGUGUGCCAGCAUUCCUGCAUUGCUAAGUGCCACGUAAAGCUUUAGUAAGUCUAGAACGUGGAGCUGGAAAGGAGGUGGUGGUCAGCGCCUGCCGUGGAGGCCUCCGUCAGGCUACUUCAGGGGCACGCUGGUCCUUCACAGUGGCCCGCGAGUCUCCCAUUAUGACUUCCCCUUUCCCACCCAUGGGAUCUGGGUUUUUAGGUUAUCAACCAAAGAGCCAAAUGGUGGUAUUGAGACCAGCGAUCUUUCCACUGCCUUGGCUGUCCCCGAAGGGCUGCCAUCUGCCUCCUGGUUCAAAAAGCUUGGCAAGACACACAUAGGAUGAGCACAAAGAAAAUCACACCUGGAGUGGGCACAUGAUAGUCAGACUGCUGAAAACCAGAAGUAAAGAAGACAUUUUGAAAGCAGAGAGAGAGAGAACCCACAAGCAGGCAAAGGCAGUGAGAGAAGCAGG
Molecule: long non-coding RNA, 463 nt
Organism: Mustela erminea (ermine)
Lineage: Eukaryota; Metazoa; Chordata; Mammalia; Carnivora; Mustelidae
Exons: 3
Source: RefSeq, a predicted model, not a curated record